GAGGAAUAUUGCGCAAUGGAGGCAACUCUGACGCAGCCAUGCCGCGUGCAGGAUGAAGGCGCUACGCGUUGUAAACUGCUUUUAACCGGGAAGAAACCCCAGGUCGUGUCCUGGGUUGACGGUACCGGAGGAAUAAGCACCGGCUAACUUCGUGCCAGCAGCCGCGGUAAUACGAAGGGUGCAAGCGUUAUCCGGAUUCAUUGGGUUUAAAGGGUGCGUAGGCGGAGCGUUAAGUCAGUGGGGAAAUCCCGCAGCUCAACUGUGGAAUUGCCAUUGAUACUGGCGCUCUUGAGUGCGGUUGACGUGGGCGGAAUGUGCCGUGUAGCGGUGAAAUGCUUAGAUAUGGCACAGAACACCGAUCGCGAAGGCAGCUCGCGAAGCCGCAACUGACGCUGAGGCACGAAAGCGUGGGGAUCGAAC
RNAcentral lists this ribosomal RNA (420 nucleotides) under uncultured bacterium. RNAcentral describes it as "bacterial SSU rRNA". It matches the Rfam family "Bacterial small subunit ribosomal RNA", at positions 356 to 773 of the family's 1533-position model. The record is from RNAcentral.